CCUACGGGAGGCUGCAGUGAGGAAUAUUGGUCAAUGGACGAGAGUCUGAACCAGCCAAGUAGCGUGAAGGAUGACUGCCCUAUGGGUUGUAAACUUCUUUUAUAUGGGAGUAAAAUGUUCCACGUGUGGGAUUUGGUGUGUACCCUAUGAAUAAGGAUCGGCUAACUCCGUGCCAGCAGCCGCGGUAAUACGGAGGAUCCGAGCGUUAUCCGGAUUUAUUGGGUUUAAAGGGAGCGUAGGUUGAUCGUUAAGUCAGUUGUGAAAGUUUGGGGAUCAAACGUAAAAGUGCAGUUGAAACUGGCAGCCUUGAGUAGAGGAGAGGUAGGCGGAAUGCGUGGUGUAGCGGUGAAAUGCUUAGAUAUCACGAAGAACUCCGAUUGCGAAGGCAGUUCACUGGACUGCAACUGACACUGAGGCACGAAAGUGUGGGUAUCGAACAGGAUUAGAUACCCGGGUAGUC
RNAcentral lists this ribosomal RNA (460 nucleotides) under uncultured bacterium. RNAcentral describes it as "partial 16S ribosomal RNA". It matches the Rfam family "Bacterial small subunit ribosomal RNA", at positions 338 to 795 of the family's 1533-position model. The record is from RNAcentral.